RNAcentral lists this long non-coding RNA (601 nucleotides) under Crocodylus porosus (Australian saltwater crocodile). RNAcentral describes it as "lncRNA (ENSCPRG00005017715.1)". The record is from RNAcentral. Lineage: Eukaryota; Metazoa; Chordata; Crocodylia; Crocodylidae.
UCCAAACCUUGUUCAAAUAUGAUGACUUUCUCUUUGAGCACUUUAAAUACAAAAACUCUUCUACCAUCAAACCUGUUGCAAGUAAGUACCAAAAUGAAGAAUAAAACUUAACUAAAUAUAGCUGCAGUAUUCAAAAGGGCUAAGGAGAAGGAAUGACUGAGAGGAGAGAUAAGUGCCGACUCUUUCCAUCACCCUUAUGGAUUCUCUCUACACUGUGCCUGGGCAGGGUGACUGCUUCUAGGGUGAUGUGAAUGAUUGAUUUUUAAGUUCAGCCUGCAACAUGAUGCUGCAGCCAGUAAAGCGAGCAAAACGCUGGCUUGCAUCCAUAGAUGCUUCUCAGUUAUAAACUUCAAAUGUAUUGCACAUACUGAAAUGCUGGUUUCAGUGUACGGAAAAUACUUCUGUAGAGAGCUAAAGGACCAGAAGGAUGAAAACACAUUGAAACAUAAUUCAGUCAAAAGUUAUUACUGUGUUAUCAAGAACAGUCAAACGCAGAAGAGAUGUAAAAGCAAAAUCCAGCAUAAGAACAUUAUGUGCACUCCUGGCUUGACUGCAACAACCUUCAAUAAAUCCUUAAACCCCUCUCACCCCAAAAACAAAG